RNAcentral lists this ribosomal RNA (254 nucleotides) under uncultured bacterium. RNAcentral describes it as "partial 16S ribosomal RNA". It matches the Rfam family "Bacterial small subunit ribosomal RNA", at positions 524 to 776 of the family's 1533-position model. The record is from RNAcentral.
UACGUAGGGCGCAAGCGUUUGUCCGGAAUUAUUGGGCGUAAAGAGCUCGUAGGCGGCUUGUCGCGUCGGAUGUGAAAGCCCGGGGCUUAACCCCGGGUCUGCAUUCGAUACGGGCAGGCUAGAGUUCGGUAGGGGAGAUCGGAAUUCCUGGUGUAGCGGUGAAAUGCGCAGAUAUCAGGAGGAACACCGGUGGCGAAGGCAGGUCUCUGGGCCACUACUGACGCUGAGAAGCGAAAGCAUGGGGAGCGAACAGG